CGCGGGGUAGAGCAGUCUGGUAGCUCGCGAGGCUCAUAACCUCGAGGUCGCAGGUUCGAAUCCUGCUCCCGCCA
This 74-nucleotide transfer RNA is filed under the name Opitutia bacterium TMED67. RNAcentral's name for it is "Opitutae bacterium TMED67 tRNA-Met". It matches the Rfam family "tRNA". From Rfam's summary of the family: Transfer RNA (tRNA) molecules are approximately 80 nucleotides in length. Their secondary structure includes four short double-helical elements and three loops (D, anti-codon, and T loops). Lineage: Bacteria; Pseudomonadati; Verrucomicrobiota; Opitutia. The record is from RNAcentral.